CAUGUGGGAGGCGCUGCGCGGCGGCGCGUCCGGCUUCAAGCUGCACGAGGACUGGGGGUCGACCCCGGCCGCGAUCGACGCGUGCCUGCGCGUC
This 94-nucleotide transfer RNA is filed under the name Actinoallomurus iriomotensis. RNAcentral describes it as "tRNA-Sec". The record is from RNAcentral. Lineage: Bacteria; Bacillati; Actinomycetota; Actinomycetes; Streptosporangiales; Thermomonosporaceae.